GAAUUCACUAGUGAUUCAGGCCUAACACAUGCAAGUCGAACGGCAGCACGGACUUCGGUCUGGUGGCGAGUGGCGAACGGGUGAGUAAUAUAUCGGAACAUACCCAGUAGUGGGGGAUAACUAUCCGAAAGGAUAGCUAAUACCGCAUACGAUCUGUGGAUGAAAGCAGGGGAUCUUCGGACCUUGUGCUAUUGGAAUGGCCGAUAUCUGAUUAGCUAGUUGGUAGGGUAAAAGCCUACCAAGGCGACGAUCAGUAGCUGGUCUGAGAGGACGACCAGCCACACUGGAACUGAGACACGGUCCAGACUCCUACGGGAGGCAGCAGUGGGGAAUUUUGGACAAUGGGGGCAACCCUGAUCCAUCAAAGGCGCGUGAGUGAAGAAGGCCCUCGGGU
This 394-nucleotide ribosomal RNA is filed under the name uncultured bacterium. RNAcentral's name for it is "bacterial SSU rRNA". It matches the Rfam family "Bacterial small subunit ribosomal RNA", at positions 34 to 423 of the family's 1533-position model. The record is from RNAcentral.